CCUCUCGUAGUUUAGUGGUAGAACAAUGGUGCGUAAAGCCAAAGGUCCCGGGUUCGAUUCCCGGCGGGGGUG
Non-coding RNA from Agrilus planipennis (emerald ash borer), 72 nucleotides. The record is from Rfam. Lineage: Eukaryota; Metazoa; Arthropoda; Insecta; Coleoptera; Buprestidae.